Molecule: long non-coding RNA, 269 nt
Filed under: Elaeis guineensis (African oil palm)
Lineage: Eukaryota; Viridiplantae; Streptophyta; Magnoliopsida; Arecales; Arecaceae
Description: long non-coding RNA (EGUI_LNC043645)
Source: RNAcentral
CCUCUCCCUCUCAGAGUGAUUGACAUAAUUAUUUGUAGAGUUUGUAAAAUCAUUCAUUGUCUUUCUUCAUGAAAAAUAUAAAAGUUUAUAUAAGACCUCAGGGGUCUUAUUUCUUUAGGAAUCUUUUAUCUUUUAUGAGGAAGAAAUUAGCCCUCCCACAAAAAAGUAAACAUUAUGCCUGGUUUUCAAACAAAGUAAUCUACCAUAGGAAAAAAAUCAGUCCUUCAACAAAAUAAGUAGGUAGCCAAGAAUUUUUAAGGAAUCUUAGG